Molecule: unclassified non-coding RNA, 341 nt
Filed under: Hevea brasiliensis (rubber tree)
Lineage: Eukaryota; Viridiplantae; Streptophyta; Magnoliopsida; Malpighiales; Euphorbiaceae
Source: RNAcentral
GGACGGCCGUGACGUGGACAUGAAUCUGACAUUCUUAAUUCAAACUAAACGCGCAAAACCCAACACGUUAACCAUGGAACUCGUUCUUUGUCUCCUCAGUUUCUGCUUAAACCUAAUCUGUUGAGUUAUCUCCUCGAUUUUUAAUCGUUCAUAAACGUUCCAAGCAUUUUUUCCAUAUCCAUGUAGCGUUACACUGCUUUAUGCUUUCAUCUUAAAUAUAUUGGGAAACAAAAAUAUAACAAUUCUGCCAAAUCAAACAACCAAGUCAUUGUCUUUCAUCGGCUCACCAUCCUAUUGCAUCUUGCGAUUACUCUAUGUUAGCCAGUGCUCUUCUUGUGAUU